UGGCACGGUAGUAUUUGCAUUCCAGAAUUUAGGUUGCUCGUUUGUGUAUACGUACUUAGGUCAAUGUAUCUAAACAGUGUGAUUGGACAAAAAAUACAGUAUCAAUUGAACAUACUUUCCCAAACUGAGGGAUGAAUCAGGUGUAGAAAAAUAUGAAAUAAUUUUACAUACAGAUGAAAAUGAAUUUUUGAGAAUUUUUUUUAAAUUUUGUAUUCACUGCACCAUAAAUGACCUAAAAGUACUAGUGUCCUUAGGUUUUUAAAAAUAGCAAAAAAAGUAAACGGUCAUGAUAAAUAUUAAAAUUCAUUUCUGAAUAGUAAAAUGAAAGUAUUUCAGUUAACUGUGAAUGUAGAAUUUUUUGCAGUGUUAGAAAGUGGUGAAAAUUCCAAAAAGGCUAUCAUUAUCCCUUAUGGGCCAGGAAAUACUACCGUGCCACCAGUAUUACGCUACACUCAAACUCUAUGAACAAAGUGUAGCAGUCAGCUGAUAACCAGCUUAACGGACGGCCACACAAAAAAAAAACAAAUACUGAAACGGUUCACUUUCGAUAAAAAGUCGAGAAAAUGACAGAUAUAUCACGUAUCAUGAUAACACUGUUA
Molecule: long non-coding RNA, 599 nt
Filed under: Mytilus galloprovincialis (Mediterranean mussel)
Lineage: Eukaryota; Metazoa; Mollusca; Bivalvia; Mytilida; Mytilidae
Source: RNAcentral